AUCCAUCUGACGAGUCUCAAAUAGGAAGGGACGCUCGUCCUGGAU
Schistosoma haematobium is the source of this 45-nucleotide non-coding RNA. The record is from Rfam. NCBI's taxonomy places the organism in Eukaryota, Metazoa, Platyhelminthes, Trematoda, Strigeidida, Schistosomatidae.